CCUACGGGCGGCAGCAGUGGGGAAUUUUGCGCAAUGCUCGUAAGAGUGACGCAGCGACGCCGCGUGAAUGACGAAGGCCUUCGGGUCGUAAAGUUCUUUCGACAGGGAAGAAAAUGCCUAUAAGUAACUGUGUAUGUAUUGACGGUACCUGUAUAAGCAGCCCCGGCUAACUCCGUGCCAGCAGCCGCGGUAAUACGGAGGGGGCGAGCGUUGUUCGGAGUGACUGGGCGUAAAGAGCACGUAGGCGGUGUUGUAAGUCAUUAGUCAAAGACUAGAGCUCAACUUUAGUAAGGCUAGUGAUACUAUAAUACGAGAGUAGCAGAGAGGAGUGCAGAAUUCCUGGUGUAGCGGUGAAAUGCGUAGAUAUCAGGAGGAAUACCGUUAGCGAAGGCGGCAAUCUGGCUGGAAACUGACGCUGAGGUGCGAAAGCGUGGGUAGCAAACAGGAUUAGAUACCCUAGUAGU
Molecule: ribosomal RNA, 464 nt
Filed under: uncultured bacterium
Lineage: Bacteria
Description: partial 16S ribosomal RNA
Rfam family: Bacterial small subunit ribosomal RNA
Source: RNAcentral